RNAcentral lists this unclassified non-coding RNA (345 nucleotides) under soil metagenome. RNAcentral's name for it is "partial contains 5.8S ribosomal RNA, internal transcribed spacer 2, and large subunit ribosomal RNA". The stretch from base 1 to 120 matches the Rfam family "5.8S ribosomal RNA", at positions 35 to 154 of the family's 154-position model. The record is from RNAcentral.
GAUGAAGAACGUAGCGAAAUGCGAUACGUAAUGUGAAUUGCAGAAUUCAGUGAAUCAUCGAGUCUUUGAACGCACAUUGCGCCCCCUGGUAUUCCGGGGGGCAUGCCUGUCCGAGCGUCAUUGCUGCCCUCAAGCACGGCUUGUGUGUUGGGCCUCCGUCCUCCUCCCGGGGGACGGGCCCGAAAGGCAGCGGCGGCACCGCGUCCGGUCCUCGAGCGUAUGGGGCUUCGUCACCCGCUCUUGUAGGCCCGGCCGGCGCUUGCCGACACAUCAAUCUUUUUUCCAGGUGGACCUCGGAUCAGGUAGGGAUACCCGCUGAACUUAAGCAUAUCAAUAAGCGGAGGA